RNAcentral lists this transfer RNA (73 nucleotides) under Felis catus (domestic cat). It matches the Rfam family "tRNA". Rfam says of the family: Transfer RNA (tRNA) molecules are approximately 80 nucleotides in length. Their secondary structure includes four short double-helical elements and three loops (D, anti-codon, and T loops). Further hydrogen bonds mediate the characteristic L-shaped molecular structure. tRNAs have two regions of fundamental functional importance: the anti-codon, which is responsible for specific mRNA codon recognition, and the 3' end, to which the tRNAs corresponding amino acid is attached (by aminoacyl-tRNA synthetases). tRNAs cope with the degeneracy of the genetic code in two manners: having more than one tRNA (with a specific anti-codon) for a particular amino acid; and 'wobble' base-pairing, i.e. permitting non-standard base-pairing at the 3rd anti-codon position. Lineage: Eukaryota; Metazoa; Chordata; Mammalia; Carnivora; Felidae. The record is from Rfam by way of RNAcentral. RNAcentral also lists the same sequence under 2 other names.
GCCUAGCUGGCUCAGUCAGUGGGGCGUGUGACUCUUGAUCUUGGAGUCGUGGGUUCGAGCCCCAUAUUGGGUG